CCCGCCACCAGGACCACACCAUAAACCUUUUUUAUGCAGUUGCAAUCAGCGUCAGUAUAACAAAUGUAAAUCAUUUACAACUUUCAACAACGGAUCUCUUGGUUCUGGCAUCGAUGAAGAACGCAGCGAAAUGCGAUACGUAGUGUGAAUUGCAGAAUUCAGUGAAUCAUCGAAUCUUUGAACGCACAUUGCGCCCUUUGGUAUUCCAAAGGGCAUGCCUGUUCGAGCGUCAUUUGUACCCUCAAGCUUUGCUUGGUGUUGGGCGUCUUUUGUCUUUGGCCUCGCCCAAAGACUCGCCUUAAAACGAUUGGCAGCCGGCCUACUGGUUUCGCAGCGCAGCACAUUUUUGCGCUUGCAAUCAGCAAAAAGGACGGCAAUCCAUCAAGACUACAUUUUUACGUUUGACCUCGGAUCAGGUAGGGAUACCCGCUGAACUUAAGCAUAUCAAUAAGCGG
RNAcentral lists this ribosomal RNA (455 nucleotides) under Bipolaris sp. Sumitha-01. Its description in RNAcentral is "eukaryotic LSU rRNA". The stretch from base 79 to 232 matches the Rfam family "5.8S ribosomal RNA". The record is from RNAcentral. Lineage: Eukaryota; Fungi; Ascomycota; Dothideomycetes; Pleosporales; Pleosporaceae.